UGUGCCUUGGAUCUCUAGCAUAUUUGUUCUGUUUUGGUUAAACAGUGCUGCACGCUUCUGUCAGUCUUCAACGUAUUGGACUUUACUGAGUGGCGAAACUUCCCCGACGUGAAAGAGUGUCUACAAAAUUUACAGGGCUUACAAAUGUCAGUGUUUAUCUUCGUAGUUGAUUGUUUCAAAUGUUCGAUGGAGACGAUGUGGUAGUCCUUUGGGGCAAGUGACUGUGAAAGUGGUUGUACGAUGUUGUGAGGAUGAAUCAGUUCUUAACUCUCAGUGGUGUGAGAAACUUUCUUUUAUUCCACUUACCUGGAUUGAGGACAAUCUCUGAGAGUAUCUUUUUAAUGUGACGAAGGAGUGGCAGACUGAAAGGUGAGUUUGUGGUGGUCCUUCAUAUUUCCCAUCAUUGUAAUAUUGUUGGGGUGUGUAACUUGCAAAGCAGCUGUAAAGGUG
This is a long non-coding RNA of Frankliniella occidentalis (western flower thrips), 450 nucleotides long. RefSeq lists it as uncharacterized. NCBI's taxonomy places the organism in Eukaryota, Metazoa, Arthropoda, Insecta, Thysanoptera, Thripidae. The transcript has 3 exons. The record is from RefSeq and is a predicted model, not a curated record.